GCAUCAGUGACCGAAUGGCAAGGUCCCCGGCUUCCAUCCGGGUGCGUGUGGGUUCGAUUCCCACCUGAUGCU
This 72-nucleotide transfer RNA is filed under the name Planctomycetota bacterium. RNAcentral's name for it is "Planctomycetes bacterium tRNA-Gly". It matches the Rfam family "tRNA". Rfam says of the family: Transfer RNA (tRNA) molecules are approximately 80 nucleotides in length. RNAcentral also lists the same sequence under 1 other name. Lineage: Bacteria; Pseudomonadati; Planctomycetota. The record is from RNAcentral.